GGCGGCGUGCUUAACACAUGCAAGUCGAACGGAGUAUCUCUCCCGAGACCAAAGAAGCUUGCUUCUGAGGAAUCAUUGAGAUACUAGUGGCGGACGGGUGAGUAACGCGUGGGUAACCUGCCUCACACAGGGGGAUAACAGUUGGAAACGACUGUUAAUACCGCAUAAGCGCACAGUACCGCAUGAUACAGUGUGAAAAAACUCCGGUGGUGUGAGAUGGACCCGCGUCUGAUUAGCUAGUUGGCGAGGUAACGGCCCACCAAGGCGACGAUCAGUAGCCGGCCUGAGAGGGUGAACGGCCACAUUGGGACUGAGACACGGCCCAAACUCCUACGGGAGGCAGCAGUGGGGAAUAUUGCACAAUGGGGGAAACCCUGAUGCAGCCGACGCCGCGUGAGCGAUGAAGUAUUUCGGUAUGUAAAGCUCUAUCAGCAGGGAAGAUAAUGACGGUACCUGACUAAGAAGCACCGGCUAAAUACGUGCCAGCCGCCGC
RNAcentral lists this ribosomal RNA (493 nucleotides) under uncultured bacterium. RNAcentral describes it as "bacterial SSU rRNA". It matches the Rfam family "Bacterial small subunit ribosomal RNA", at positions 38 to 518 of the family's 1533-position model. The record is from RNAcentral.